GUGUCAGCAGCCGCGGUAAGACAGAGGUGGCGAGCGUUGUUCGGAUUUAUUGGGCGUAAAGCGAACGCAGGUGGUUUGGUAAGUCAGAGGUGAAAUUCCGCAGCUUAACUGCGGCACUGCCUUUGAUACUGCCUUUCUAGAGUGCAUGAGGGGGAAGCGGAAUUCCGAGUGUAGAGGUGAAAUUCGUAGAUAUUCGGAGGAACACCGGUGGCGAAGGCGGCUUCCUGGCAUGCAACUGACACUCAUGUUCGAAAGCGUGGGGAGCAAACAGGAUUAGAUACCCCCGUAGUCC
Molecule: ribosomal RNA, 292 nt
Filed under: uncultured bacterium
Lineage: Bacteria
Description: partial 16S ribosomal RNA
Rfam family: Bacterial small subunit ribosomal RNA
Source: RNAcentral